This 558-nucleotide ribosomal RNA is filed under the name Triticum aestivum (bread wheat). RNAcentral describes it as "partial small subunit ribosomal RNA". Lineage: Eukaryota; Viridiplantae; Streptophyta; Magnoliopsida; Poales; Poaceae. The record is from RNAcentral.
AUGCAUCCCAUGAAUAAAAAUGCUAUCGUUGUGGCACACACUUGCUAUAAUUUGCGUCUCAAUCAUGUUGAACACAAUAACUAUCAUUGCAUGAUGGAUGGCGUAUUUCUCUACCAUGCUUCAAAUUUAUUUGAGCAUUGCUUAUCUUGUGCUAACUCUCACGUUCACAUACACAUCAUGAUGGAUGAUGUGUACAUUUACCACACACACAAUUUCUUUGGUUUGUGUAUCUUUUGUGUAGGUACCCAUGAAUACUUGUCAACCUCACAAUCCCAUGAGUUGACAAAACAAGCUCUAGAGAGCAAUGAUGAUUUGGGAUCCCGUGGAUUAUCCUUACGAGCACUCCCUCCGCGCAUUUCUUCUACAUGGCCCUCACAUGGUUAUGGGUUAUAUACCGCUUCUCACUUUAUGCUCAUUUUGAUGCCUUUGCCAUGCAUUUGUGACCCAGGCUUUGCAUUAUACAUGAUGAUGGAUUCUAGUACUUGUAUGUGUAUUUGCAAGAUUGGUGGGGAUAUCUCUUGUUAUUGCCAUGUUCCAUUUUAUGCCCCAUGCCUAUGA